AGGUCCUGCCUGCCCAGUGACACACUGUUCACGGCCGCGGUAUUUUGACCGUGCGAAGGUAGCGUAAUCACUUGUCUUUUAAAUGAAGACCUGUAUGAAUGGCAAGACGAGGGCUUAGCUGUCUCCUUGUUUCAAGUCAAUGAAAUUGAUCUCCCCGUGCAGAAGCGGGGGUAACUACAUAAGACGAGAAGACCCUAUGGAGCUUUAGAUAAUGAAACAGACCACGUCAAAGCAACCCUAAACAAAGGACUGAAACUAACUGGCUCCUGUUUUUAUGUCUUCGGUUGGGGCGACCAUGGGGAAAUAAAAAACCUCCACGUGGAAUAGGAGCAUUCAACCCUUUUUCUCUAACCCUCCUCCCAGAACUAAGUAGCGUACAGCUCUAACUAACAGAACUUCUGACCAAACAUGAUCCGGCAAUGCCGAUCAACGAAUCAAGUUACCCUAUGGAUAACAGCGCAAUCCCCUUUUAGAGCCCAUAUCGACAAGGGGGUUUACGACCUCGAUGUUGGAUCAGGACAUCCUAAUGGUGCAGCCGCUAUUAAGGGUUC
Molecule: ribosomal RNA, 551 nt
Filed under: Toxotes chatareus (largescale archerfish)
Lineage: Eukaryota; Metazoa; Chordata; Actinopteri; Toxotidae
Description: partial large subunit ribosomal RNA
Rfam family: Bacterial large subunit ribosomal RNA
Source: RNAcentral